RNAcentral lists this ribosomal RNA (406 nucleotides) under uncultured bacterium. RNAcentral describes it as "partial 16S ribosomal RNA". It matches the Rfam family "Bacterial small subunit ribosomal RNA", at positions 29 to 526 of the family's 1533-position model. The record is from RNAcentral.
AUUGAACGCUGGCGGCAGGCCUAACACAUGCAAGUCGAGCGAGCGGCGGACGGGUGAGGAAUGUCUGGGAAACUGCCUGAUGGAGGGGGAUAACUACUGGAAACGGUAGCUAAUACCGCAUACCAUCAGAUGUGCCCAGAUGGGAUUAGCUAGUAGGUGGGGUAACGGCUCACCUAGGCGACGAUCCCUAGCUGGUCUGAGAGGAUGAUCAGCCAAACUGGGACUGAGACACGGUCCAGAUUCCUACGGGAGGCAGCAGUGGGGAAUAUUGGACAAUGGGCGAAAGCCUGAUGGAGCAAUGCCGCGUGAGUGAAGAAGGCCUUCGGGUUGGAAAGCACUUUCAGCGGGGAGGCGGUACCCGAAGAAGAAGCACCGGCUAACUCCGUGCCAGCCGCCGCGGUAAUAC